CCUCGGAUCAGGUAGGAAUACCCGCUGAACUUAAGCAUAUC
This 41-nucleotide ribosomal RNA is filed under the name Fusarium oxysporum. RNAcentral describes it as "partial 28S ribosomal RNA". The record is from RNAcentral. Lineage: Eukaryota; Fungi; Ascomycota; Sordariomycetes; Hypocreales; Nectriaceae. RNAcentral also lists the same sequence under 3 other names.